Molecule: ribosomal RNA, 410 nt
Filed under: uncultured microorganism
Description: bacterial SSU rRNA
Rfam family: Archaeal small subunit ribosomal RNA
Source: RNAcentral
GCGCACCAGUCGCGAAUACUUUACAAUGUGCGAAAGCACGAUAAGGGAACUCUGAGUGCCUCCUAAGGAGGCUGUUCAGGUGUCUAAAAGCACCUGAAGGAAGGGCUGGGUAAGACCGGUGCCAGCCGCCGCGGUAACACCGGCAGCCCAAGUGGUAGCCACGUUUAUUGGGUCUAAAGCGUCCGUAGCCGGCUGGGUAAGUUCCUUGGGAAAUUUGGCUGCUUAACAGUCAAGCUUUCAGGGAAUACUGCCCGGCUUGGGACCGGGAGAGGUCAGAGGUACUCCAGGGGUAGGGGUGAAAUCCAUUAAUCCUUGGGGGACCACCGGUAGCGAAGGCGUCUGACCAGACCGGGUCCGACGGUGAGGGGACGAAGGCUAGGGGCGCGAACCGGAUUAGAUACCCGGGUAGU